Mizuhopecten yessoensis (Yesso scallop) is the source of this 4322-nucleotide long non-coding RNA. RefSeq lists it as uncharacterized. The transcript has 3 exons. The record is from RefSeq and is a predicted model, not a curated record. Lineage: Eukaryota; Metazoa; Mollusca; Bivalvia; Pectinida; Pectinidae.
UAUUAAUUUUCGUCUCAUAGAGAUUUUACAUGCAUGACCUACGUGGAUGAGAUUCAGAGUAGAUACUAUAGGGCGAUACUAAACACCUGCCUAUAAAUAUCCGCACCUCCUACGACUACACCACCUCCUAUUUAUUUCCAUAUUGCAGUGAGUCAUGCAAUGUUAACGUCAGGUACUCAAUACUUUAAAACAGUCUGCCGUCGACGGAGUAUCUUUUAGACGAUGAUUAUAGAUCAGAUCUGCCUGGUUGUUGAUUGUGGCAAACCCUUCAAGAAUGGCUCAACACAGGAAUAAAAGUUCAAAAGGAAAUUUAUUUGUCGACAAUUUAAAAUUCAAGUGACAUGUAAUACAAUACAAAAAUACACUCUCCAAAGCAGCCCGAGAGGUCACCGGAACGAGUGUCUAUAUGUUGAGAUGAGUUGUCUCCCUUUGACUAAUUGACAAUGAAUAUAAGCAGAUUCUUUGAAUUUAGUACGAUUGUUUUGAUUAAAUGAGAUGUAGUAUUACCUCUUUGAUUUCUACAAAUAUUAAUAGCUAUAGAACAAAUUAAUGAAAAUUGCAUUUCUCAUAAGAAUGUCUAUUAAAAGGCCCUUAUACCGAAUAUUACCGAAUGUAUUGUAUACUAAACGGUAUAUAUAUUUUACAUUAUUGCGAUUUUCACGAUCACGGCUGAAAGUAAGUACUUGAAAAUGAAAUGACCGAUUGCAAAAUCAGUACAUAUAACAGAAAAAUAUUAAUAUCUUUUGUUAAUUGUUAAUCGUUACAUUAAGGUAUCACAAUUAUCACAAACUCAAAAGUAAAAAUUGUAAAACGAACAAAUGUCACAUAUAUCGCAGUGACCUACAUAAGUAGUGUUUGACCUCAAACAUCACACAAAUGUUGCUUAAUGGCGAAGUCCAUGAAAGGUCUACGGACGUCAGCACGAAUGAAGGAAUGGACCAAUGGAAAUGCUAAUAAUAUAUGUCCUUUUACUCUGCUGUUAUGACAUUAAAAAUACAAUAAAUCUCAAUCAAAAUCACAGUAGGUUAAAUAAACUGAUUGAUCUGUAUACAUAUUAAAACAAUGAGGCAGCCAUGUCGUUAACUAAAACAUAUUAACAGAGAUGGUCACGAUGAUGAGUUUACCAAAAUAGAUAUCCAUUUGAGCAUAUGUGUGAAGCAGUAACAGGUAUUUGUACAUAAUCUAUUUGUAUAUAUUCACGCAGAUAAGCAAUGAAAUUGCUUAUCAUGAACUAUUUGAAUAAGUUUACAUUUGUUGGUACAGAGUUAAUGAAUUAAUGAAUUAUCAGCAAAUCAUAAGCUUCAAAAUACGAACAAAUUAUGUCCUUAAAUUCUGAAAUUUUAAUGGGAAAUUCCUUCAUGAGCAUCUUGAGCACGUACACGAUUAUUCUGAUAUGAAUAUUUACGGAUAAUAUCGACGCUUAAUAUGAAAACAACGUUUGUACUGGCAGAAGUGAAUUCUAAGAAAAACACCUUUUUUAGUCACAAUUUCAGAUGAUAGUGGUAUUAUUCCGUGAACUCGUUAUUUAACAAUUGAAUUCCAGGAAAUGUUCAAAGUCAGUAAAAAACUGUGUUAAUGUUAAAUACCAUGUACAUCAAUCAAUCAGAAGUUAUACAAAUCAUUGGAAAAAAACAUGGAUUGAUUUAAUCUAUUUAAGUGAAAUACAACCUCUUAAAUCAUAACUCAAAUUAAACAAAAAUCAAAAUGAUAUAUUACGUAAGUUCAAUAAUCCAGACAAACUUUAAAGACAAACAAGAUACAUACUCAAAUUUCCAUGGAAAAAUCCUUCUUGAGCAUCUUGACCCACCAUCUUGGAUUGCUAAGCAAGACAUCUGUUACUGUUAAUUCUUCGAAAAUCUACGUUGUCAGUAAAUGACCAAUAACAUUUUGCUUACACCUGAAGUUAGUAGACUCUUUGAUCUUUGAACCUCAAAAGACCGCCAAUUGCAGGUCCCAUAGUUCAUACAUGUAUAUGCUAUUUGAAUGAAGGUCCCAUAGUUCUUACAUGCUAUUUCAAUGAAGGUCCUAUAGUUCAUACAUGCUAUUUGAAUGAAGGUCCCAUAUUUCAUACAUGCUAUUUUAAUGAAGGUCAAACAGUUCAUACAUGCUAUUCGAAUGAAGGUCCCUUAGUUCAUACGUGCUAUUUGAAAGGAGGCCCAUAGUUCAAACGUGCUAUUUGAAUGAAGGUCCCAUAGUUCAUACAUGCUAUUUGAAUGAAGGUCCCAUAGUUCAUACAUGCUAUUUAAAUGAAGGUCCCAUUGUUCAUAAAUGCUAAUUGAAUGAAGGUCAAAUAGUUCAUACAUGCUAUUUGAAUGAAGGUCCCAUAGUUCAUACGUGCUAUUUAAAUGAAGGUCCCAUUGUUCAUACAUGCUAUUUGAAUGAAGGUCCCAUAGUUCAUACAUGCUAUUUAAAUAAAUGUCCCAUUGUUCAUACAUGCUAAUUGAAUGAAGGUCCCAUGGUUCAUACGUGCUAUUUAAAUGAAGGUCCCAUACUUCAUACAUGCUAUUUAAAUGAAGAUCCCAUAGUUCAUGAAUGCUUUUUGAAUGAAUGUCCCCAAAGUUAAAACAUGCUAUUUGAAUGAAGGUCGCAUAGUUCAUACAUGCUAUUUAAAUGAAGGUCCCAUUGUUCAUACAUGCUAUUUGAAUUAAUGUCCCAUAGUUCAUAUAUGCUAUUUGAAUGAAGGUCCCAUAGUUCAUACGUGCUAUUUGAACGAAGGUCCCAUAGUUCAUACAUGCUAUUUUAAAAGGAAGGUCCCAUAGUUCAUACGUACGGUAUCAUAGUUCAUUCAUGCUAUUUUUAUGAAGGUCAAAUAGUUCAUACAUGCUAUUUGAAUGAAGGUCCCAUAGUAAUACAUGCUAAUUGAAUGAAGAUCCCAUAGUUCAUACGUGCUAAUUGAAUGAAGGCCCAUAGUUCAAACGUGCUAUUUGAAUAAAGGUCCCAUAGUUCAUACAUGCUAUUUGAAUGAAGGUCCAAUAGUUCAUACGUACGGUAUCAUAGUUCAUUCAUGCUAUUUGAAUGAAGGUCAAAUAGUUCAUACAUGCUAUUUGAAUGAAAGUCCCUUGGUUCAUACAUGCUAAUUGAAUAAAGGUCCAUAGUUCAUUCAUGCUAUUUGAAUGAAGGCUCAUAGUUCAAACGUGCUAUUUGAAUGAAGGUCCCAUAUUUCACACAUGCUAUUUGAAUGAAGGUCCAAUAGUUCAUACGUACGGUAUCAUAGUUCAUUCAUGCUAUUUGAAUGAAUGUCCUAUAGUUCGUACAUCCUAUUUAAAUGAAGGUCCCAUAGUUCAUACAUGCUAUUUGAAUGAAGGUCCCAUAGUUCAUACGUACGGUAUCAUAGUUCAUUCAUGCUAUUUUUAUGAAGGUCAAAUAGUUCAUACAUGCUAUUUGAAUGAAGGUCCCAUAGUUCAUACAUGAUAUUUUAAUGAAGGUCCCAUAGUUCAUACAUGCUAUUUGAAUGAAGGUCCCAUAGUUCAUACGUACGGUAUCAUAGUUCAUUCAUGCUAUUUUUAUGAAGGUCAAAUAGUUCAUACAUGCUAUUUGAAUGAAGGUCCCAUAGUUCAUACAUGAUAUUUUAAUGAAGGUCUCAUAGUUCAUACGUGCUAGUUGAAUGAAGGUCCCAUAGUUCAUACGUGCUAUUUGAAUGAAGGUCCCAUAGUUCAUACAUGCUAUUUGAAUGAAGGUCCCAUAGAUAAUAUAUGCUAUUUGAAUGAAGAUCCCAUAGUUCAUACAUGCUAUUUAAAUGAAGGUCCCAUUGUUAAUAUAUGCUAUUUGAAUAAAUGUCCCAUAGUUCAUGCAUGCUAUUUGAAUGAAUGUCCCCAAAGUUAAAACAUGCUAUUUGAAUGAAGGUCCCAUGGUUCAUACAUGCUAUUUAAAUGAAGGUCCCAUUGUUCAUAUAUGCUAUUUGAAUGAGGGUCCCACAGUUCAUACAUGCUAUUUAAAUGAAGGUCCCAUUGUUAAUAUAUGCUAUUUGAAUAAAUGUCCCAUAGUUCAUGCAUGCUAUUUGAAUGAAUGUCCCCAAAGUUAAAACAUGCUCUUUGAAUGAAGGUCCCAUGGUUCAUACAUGCUAUUUAAAUGAAGGUCCCAUUGUUCAUAUAUGCUAUUUGAAUGAGGGUCCCACAGUUCAUACAUGCUAUUUAAAUGAAGGUCCCAUUGUUAAUAUAUGCUAUUUGAAUAAAUGUCCCAUAGUUCAUGCAUGCUAUUUGAAUGAAUGUCCCCAAAGUUAAAACAUGCUCUUUGAAUGAAGGUCCCAUGGUUCAUACAUGCUAUUUAAAUGAAGGUCCCAUUGUUCAUAUAUGCUAUUUGAAUGAGGGUCCCACAGUUCAUAC